AAAAAUAUUCAUGAAGUAAUUAUAUAGUAACUAGUAAAUGCAAGAUAAGCUACAUAUAAUUUUUAUCUGUAGAAAACUAUUGCUAGUGUGACAGGAAAUUUAUUUAUUUUUGCUUUAUUUUUACAAUUCCUUGAUGAAAGGUAAAGCUUUGUUUUUGUGACAGAUUUAGGCACUGUAAUUUGGUGUUUCUUAGCUUUGUAGUAACAGCCAGUUCUCUCCCUCUUUUAUCUUUAAUAAAACCUCUUUAG
Molecule: long non-coding RNA, 248 nt
Filed under: Gossypium barbadense (sea-island cotton)
Lineage: Eukaryota; Viridiplantae; Streptophyta; Magnoliopsida; Malvales; Malvaceae
Description: long non-coding RNA (GBAR_LNC016017)
Source: RNAcentral